Molecule: ribosomal RNA, 144 nt
Filed under: uncultured archaeon
Lineage: Archaea
Description: partial 16S ribosomal RNA
Source: RNAcentral
CGCUAGAUAUUUACUCUUACAAAAGCCCAUGCUGAGCAUGAGCACUUGGAAUUCCCCUAUCACACUUUCGUGWAUUGUAAAGUUUUCGCGCCUGCUGCGCCCCGUGGGGCGGGGGCGGCGGGACGGGCGCGGGGCGCGGCGGGC